RNAcentral lists this ribosomal RNA (839 nucleotides) under uncultured archaeon. RNAcentral's name for it is "bacterial SSU rRNA". It matches the Rfam family "Archaeal small subunit ribosomal RNA", at positions 57 to 884 of the family's 1478-position model. The record is from RNAcentral.
GUUGAUGGGAUACCUAAAGUUCCCAUAGCAAACUGCUCAGUAACACAUGAUCAACUUACCCUAUAGAGAAAAAUAACCUCGGGAAACUGAGGAUAAUGUUUCAUAAUUGAAUUGGCUUGGAAAAGUUUUUCAAUGAAAAGGAUAAAAAAAAUGGUUUUUAUCUGCUAUAGGAUAGGAUCGUGUUCGAUUAUGGUUGUUGGUGAGAUAAUGGCUCACCAAGCCGAUAAUCGAUAGGGGCCGUGAGAGCGGGAGCCCCGAGAUGGGUACUGAGACAACGACCCAGGCCUUACGAGGCGCAGCAGGCGCGGAACCUCCGCAAUACACGAAAGUGUGACGGGGUUACCCAAAGUGUUCAAUAGAACUGUGGUAGGUGAGUAAUGUCCCCUACUAGAAAGGAGAGGGCAAGGCUGGUGCCAGCCGCCGCGGUAAAACCAGCUCUUCAAGUGGUCGGGAUAAUUAUUGGGCUUAAAGUGUCCGUAGCCGGUUUAGUAAGUUCCUGGUAAAAUCGGGUAGCUUAACUAUCUGCAUGCUAGGAAUACUGCUAUACUAGAGGGCGGGAGAGGUCUGAGGUACUACAGGGGUAGGGGUGAAAUCUUAUAAUCCUUGUAGGACCACCAGUGGCGAAGGCGUCAGACUGGAACGCGCCUGACGGUGAGGGACGAAAGCCAGGGGAGCGAACCGGAUUAGAUACCCGGGUAGUCCUGGCCGUAAACGAUGCAUACUAGGUGAUGGUACGGCCAUGAGCCGUAUCAGUGCCGUAGGGAAACCGUUAAGUGUGCCGCCUGGGAAGUACGGUCGCAAGGCUAAAACUUAAAGGAAUUGGCGGGGGAGCACCACAA